AACCUGGUACAAUCUCGCUGAAAUGGAAAAACUCGUUGCAUGAUAUUGAGCCAACAUGCAGAUUAGAAUUAUUAGAAAGAAAAUUCAGAACAAGGAUAUGGGCAACAAUGAAAAUAACAAGCAAAUGGAGAACAGAGACAUUGAAAAUCAGUGAAAGUAUUAGACAAAGAGAUUCCUUAAGCCCGUUUCUGUUCAACGUAAUCAUGAACAGAAUAAUAGAUGCAGUCAAGCAGCAUGAAGGGUACCGCAUAAACGGAAAAAAAUUAAUAUAUUGUGUUACGCAGAUGAUGCUGUUUUAAUAAUUUGCAUAUAACGAAAACGAUCCACAAAGGGGAAGAUCAUAGAACAAGUCAUGUCAUUCAACCAUCUAGAUGUCGAAAUAAUAAGUUGCAAAAACCUAGAAGAGAAGGCAAUAGCUCAAACAAGGCAACGAGAGUAGCGGGAUGCCUGAGAGACACAGUUUAGAGGAAUAAAUAGAUGAUGUUGGAAAGUGAGAAUUUACAAAACAAUGGUACGGUCAAUCCUCAUAUAUGCCACUGAAACAAGAGUCGAAACGAAGAGAACUAAACAGAAAAAAAGAGCAGCAGAGAUGAAAAUCUUAAAGUCAAUAACGGAUAUAUCACUAAGAGAUGGACAAACCAGCAAGAAUAUAAGGGGGGAAAUACGAAAUACAGGACGUAAUUAAAUGGUCCAAGAUAAGAAAAAAGCAAUGGAAUGAGCAUGCGAGUCGAAUGGAAGAAAAUGAACUCUCUCUAAUGAAGCUCUAAUUUGUAAAAACAGACGAUCCAGAACGACCAUUAGAUGAUGACUCACUCAAAAGAUGAGCUCAGAGCUAGUUCUCAUUAUCUUUAGAAUAAACCAGACCAGGAAAACCUAGUCAGGAAGAAAAAAAAUUCAGAACUGUAUAGAUUUAUUUACAAGUGAUAAAAAUAUAUGUUUGAGCACUCAAGCUGAUGCGAUUCACAUACAAUCGUUCAUUCACUACUUAUUAUCACCACCAGGAUUCAAAUGUAUGCUGCAAUGUGCUUAGCAUGCGUCCAAAUUAACAGAAAGUCGACAUUUUUUAUAACAUUAAUCAACAAUGCUUUCCAAGCAACGUCCCUAAUCAAAAGUGCGUUUGUGAACAACACAAUUCUUUUAUCACAUAUAUUUGGCACAAAAAAUAUUUGUUUCCAAUGUUUUUAUACAGCUUUUCAUUCUCAACAUUGCGACAUGUAUACAAUUUUGUAAUAUGUAAGAAAAAUAUAUUCCACUUU
Molecule: long non-coding RNA, 1256 nt
Filed under: Harpegnathos saltator (Jerdon's jumping ant)
Lineage: Eukaryota; Metazoa; Arthropoda; Insecta; Hymenoptera; Formicidae
Description: uncharacterized LOC112589254, transcript variant X2
Source: RNAcentral